GACCGCUCCGGUGGCCUAGUGGUUAGAGCGUCCGCCUCAAAUGCGGGAGGUCGUGGGUUCGAUCCCCGGUCGAGUCA
This is a non-coding RNA of Potamilus streckersoni, 77 nucleotides long. Lineage: Eukaryota; Metazoa; Mollusca; Bivalvia; Unionida; Unionidae. The record is from the annotation of a GenBank genome assembly.